AUUAUUUAAAUAUAAUUAACCAUUAUACCAAACCAAGGACUCGUGCAGUAUUUUCAUUUCGCUUUACUGCCGUCACGCUAAAAUAUCAUUCCUUUUUUUCCUAUGGAUUUCUUUCUUCUCUUCUUAAAACUUCUUUAACCCAGUGCCAAUGUUCUUGUACACACAUAUAUUUUGCAGCCACAGCAAAUAAACUCCACUUACCAUCAUGCCUUGCGCGCUGACGUCAGCCGCGGAGCAGCAUGUGCUGCGCUGCUGCGCUGCGGCUCUCCAACUAUGGCUCAGUGCGGCUCCGGCUGUGCGCGGCGGCGCAGCGCGUCGAGCUCCGCGGCUUCAGGUCACAGCUUCAUCAUUGCGCCGGACCACAAGGACGAAAGCGGCUACUUUGCUGCUCAUCGGAACUAAUCCCACCGAUCUAUCGCCUUGAUUGGACAGGAUUUACUCCAGGAUUCUUUUGGAGACUUUAACGCGAUUAAACGCUAUUUUCUUUUACAGCCGUGGCACCACUGGAGGAGUUCAUGUUGUUACAAACGUCGGGUGAAACUUUGUGAUGGAUUCAACGCGCCGGGCUGUGCAUCGACCUGUGGGAUAUGAGGAAAUACUGUCUCCGACACGGGAUGAACAGUGUCCAUUUGUCCCUCUGCGCUACAAGCAGCUGGUCGGACAGGAGCGUCUCUUGCGAUGCGCGCGGCCAGUGUCACAAAUAAUCCACACCAUGAUGCGGUUUUUGGAGAUCGAUAUUCGUUGAGCUGGAUUUUGGCAACUGGGGAAAAAGGAAUAUUCCGGAAUAUAAUUUGAAAGUGCUCAACAGAUGACCAGCAGUUCGGGCGGUGACUUGGCGCAUCCCUUCAUCCAGCAGUGAAGGAAUCCCAUUUCAUGGAAUGAGAGGCCAAUCUUUAAUUGCUUUCCAGGGAAUUUCUGGAUCAUACUUAAUCCUGGUUUGGACUGUGGACAUAGCAUCGCCUGCAGCAGAUGUUUGCUCCUGGCAUGGCUGCAAACUGCAUGAGCUCCAUCACCGACAAUCCAGUUCUCGGGAUGCAUCGCCAGCAGCUUGGACACGGAGAAGCUGUGACACAAACUCAGCAGGACAGUGGAGUGUAUUCUGCUGCUCGGAUAUUAUGGAACAGACCGGUCAACCUCGUCUGGAGAGGCACUCGAUAGGAAAAUCAGCUCUAUGAGGCUACGAUUACCGCGGUUACCACAAUGGAUCUACACAUUGUUUGACUUUUUCUAAAUUGAACCUGGAUUAAUAUUUCCCUGUAUAUACAUCUGCUUUUGAUAUUCAGUGUUUAUUCCCGCUGUUGCUCAUUCCCUGCACUUAUAUACUGUGUUAUUCUGGAUACAGUAUCAACAAAUGCUGGAACAGUAAACGGAAAAUAAUCAGCUGUUAUUUCCUCUUUAGGUCUAUUAUUUUUACAGGAGGAAGGCAGCACUUACACCAAUCUCGUAAGGAGCAAACUAAAUGUUUUCCUGUUGAAUUAAUUAACACACAUAGGAAUUGUCACAGGGAUUACUCAAUUAAUAAACAUUCAACAUCUUCCAAUUAAGAAAAGAUAAUCCUUUAUUAGUCCAGCAGCAGGGAAAUUACAACAAUUGCCUUCACAAUGAAGCCAUUGAACCAAAGGUGCUUAUGAAUACAACUAUUGACAACUCUUUGGGAGUCUUGUUCAUUCUGGUUGAGGAAUCUUUUCCAACUCUUUGAUCUGAUAAAGACGUAUUGCUUCAUCGGACUUGUCUGUGUAACCCUCGAACAGAAAUAAAAAAGAAAAGGUGUAAUCAAGCUGCUGUCCGUUUAUUAUGUCAUUGCAGCUGCAGAGAGAUUAAUAGCCAAAAACUGCUUUCACUGUGUUCGUUGUGUGUGUGUGUGUGUGUGUUGUUGUUAACCGUACUGGUUUCAAUCACCAGUUGGCCCAGUGUCUGAUGCAGGAGCUCUAUCGGGGGUUGCUUCGCUCUUCUCUUUUUUUUUUCUCUCCUGCUCAAGCAAAAAGCGCGUGAUUUAAAG
Long non-coding RNA from Gasterosteus aculeatus aculeatus (three-spined stickleback), 1999 nucleotides. The record is from Ensembl. NCBI's taxonomy places the organism in Eukaryota, Metazoa, Chordata, Actinopteri, Perciformes, Gasterosteidae.